This 207-nucleotide ribosomal RNA is filed under the name uncultured bacterium. Its description in RNAcentral is "partial 16S ribosomal RNA". It matches the Rfam family "Bacterial small subunit ribosomal RNA", at positions 568 to 774 of the family's 1533-position model. The record is from RNAcentral.
CAUGUAGGCGGAUUAAUAAGUUUGAAGUGAAAUCCUAUAGCUUAACUAUAGAACUGCUUUGAAAACUGUUAAUCUAGAAUGUGGGAGAGGUAGAUGGAAUUUCUGGUGUAAGGGUAAAAUCCGUAGAGAUCAGAAGGAAUACCGAUUGCGAAGGCGAUCUACUGGAACAUUAUUGACGCUGAGAUGCGAAAGCGUGGGGAGCAAACA